GGACCUGUCAGCCAAUCAGGAUGAAGAAUCAGACCUGGAGGUGUUCCAGCUCGAGACCAGCAAAGAGGAGGCGGGGCUAUGUGCCUUUAGAACCGUCCGCGGAACCUACUGGAACCUCACAGGCAGCGGAAGCGUACAGAGCACCGCCUCGGUCAAGUCUUCUAGCUGUUUCUUUCAUCUGGAGUGGCAGGGGUCGAAGGUCACUCUGAAGGCCAGUAAUGGGAAGUAUCUCAACGCCCGCAAGAACGGUCAACUCUCUGCAAGCGCUGACACACCAGGCGAGUCGGAGCAGUUUGUGGUGCAGCUGAUUAAUCGCCCGUUGAUCGUGUUGCGGGGGGAGCACGGCUUCAUCGGGGGGCGGAAGGCCGACUCCUCCACGCUCGACUCAAACCGCGCCUCCUACGACGUCUACCAAUUACAACACAAGGGCGGGGCCUACAGCC
This is a long non-coding RNA of Clupea harengus (Atlantic herring), 443 nucleotides long. RefSeq lists it as uncharacterized. NCBI's taxonomy places the organism in Eukaryota, Metazoa, Chordata, Actinopteri, Clupeiformes, Clupeidae. The transcript is spliced from 3 exons. The record is from RefSeq and is a predicted model, not a curated record.